AGUAGGGCAUAGCCCGCGAAAGUCGGAUUAAUACCCUAUGUUAUCCGAAGAUGACAUCUGACUUGGAUUAAAGAUUAAUCGCUAAGGGAUGGGGAUGCGUCCGAUUAGGUAGUCGGCGGGGUAACGGCCCACCGAGCCUUCGAUCGGUAGGGGUUCUGAGAGGAAGGUCCCCCACACUGGUACUGAGACACGGACCAGACUCCUACGGGAGGCAGCAGUGAGGAAUAUUGGUCAAUGGACGGGAGUCUGAACCAGACCCAAGUAGCGUGCAGGACGACCGGCCCUAGUGGGUUGUAAACUGUCUUUUAGUACGGGGAUAAAGUCGCCCACGUGUGGGUGUUUGUAGGUACCGUAUGAAUAAGGGCCGGCUAAUUCCGUGCCAGCCGCCGC
This 390-nucleotide ribosomal RNA is filed under the name uncultured bacterium. RNAcentral's name for it is "bacterial SSU rRNA". It matches the Rfam family "Bacterial small subunit ribosomal RNA", at positions 135 to 518 of the family's 1533-position model. The record is from RNAcentral.